This 315-nucleotide ribosomal RNA is filed under the name uncultured Helotiales. Its description in RNAcentral is "partial large subunit ribosomal RNA". It matches the Rfam family "Eukaryotic large subunit ribosomal RNA", at positions 40 to 350 of the family's 3401-position model. Lineage: Eukaryota; Fungi; Ascomycota; Leotiomycetes; Helotiales. The record is from RNAcentral.
AUAUCAAUAAGCGGAGGAAAAGAAACCAACAGGGAUUGCCUCAGUAACGGCGAGUGAAGCGGCAACAGCUCAAAUUUGAAAUCUGGCUCUUUCAGGGUCCGAGUUGUAAUUUGUAGAAGAUGCUUUGGGUGAGGCUCCGGCUCAUGAUGUCCUUGGAACAGGACGCAUAGAGGGUGAGAAUCCCGUACGUGACUGGUUGCCUUCGCCCGUGUAAAGCUCUUUCAACGAGUCGAGUUGUUUGGGAAUGCAGCUCAAAAUGGGUGGUAAAUCUCAUCUAAAGCUAAAUAUUGGCCAGAGACCGAUAGCGCACAAGUA